GGUCCAGGUUAGACGCGUGGUACGGAAGUGCUUUACACACUGCGAAGUCGGACGCGGCGAGCGGCGGGGGCCAACCGUGGCGGCGAGCGGCGAACGGGUGGAGUAAUACGAUCGGAACGUGCCCAGACGUGGGGGAGUAACUACUCAAAGGAGUGGCUAAUACCGCAUACGAUCUAAGGAUGAAAGCGGGGGAGUCGCAAGACCUCGCGCGUUUGGAGCGGCCGAUGGCAGAUUAGGUAGUUGGUGGGGUAAAGGCUUACCAAGCCCGCGAUCUGUAGCUGGUCGUGAGAGGAUGAUCAGCCACACUGGGACGUGAGACACGGCCCAGACUCCUACGGGAGGGCAGCAGUGGGGAAUUUUGGACAAUGGGCGAAAGCCUGAUCCAGCCAUUCCGCGUGCAGGAUGAAGGCCCUCGGGGUUGUAAACUGCUUUUGUACAGAACGAAAAAGCUCUUUCUAAUACAGAGAGUCCAUGACGGUACUGUAAGAAUAAGCACCGGCUAACUACGUG
This 510-nucleotide ribosomal RNA is filed under the name uncultured bacterium. RNAcentral describes it as "bacterial SSU rRNA". It matches the Rfam family "Bacterial small subunit ribosomal RNA", at positions 21 to 507 of the family's 1533-position model. The record is from RNAcentral.